UACGAAGGGGGCUAGCGUUGUUCGGAAUUACUGGGCGUAAAGCGCACGUAGGCGGAUAUUUAAGUCAGGGGUGAAAUCCCAGAGCUCAACUCUGGAACUGCCUUUGAUACUGGGUAUCUAGAGUAUGGAAGAGGUGAGUGGAAUUCCGAGUGUAGAGGUGAAAUUCGUAGAUAUUACGGAGGAACACCAGUGGCGAAGGCGGCUCACUGGUCCAUUACUGACGCUGAGGUGCGAAAGCGUGGGGAGCAAACAGG
RNAcentral lists this ribosomal RNA (254 nucleotides) under uncultured bacterium. Its description in RNAcentral is "partial 16S ribosomal RNA". It matches the Rfam family "Bacterial small subunit ribosomal RNA", at positions 524 to 776 of the family's 1533-position model. The record is from RNAcentral.